GGAACAGAGUCCAAGUGAGGAGAGUGUCAAGAGCCCUGGAAAUCAGCUUGAGUAUGCCAUGAUUGUUGGAUUUGGCAGGGCCAGCGCUACACACUCACAGCCCAGCAGAGAGACGGCGGUGACCUACACAACUGUAGGUCAUUGCACAGCACAGACAGCAGCUGGGGAAACAGAAUAUGACAUACAUCCAUAUAGCAUAUAGAGCACAUCUGGCAAGCAUGAACCCCUUUGACCUCUCGUAUGUGAAAUCUUUGGGGAGGGACCCAAGUCACACAGUUUGGUGUUGGAGACAAACCUUACCCUGAGCUUCCCCAAAGUUCGGAGGAAUUCAGAUUUGCUAUUCUGGUUGGUCCAUUCUAGAAAUGCUGUUCUAGUCUAUGUAGGUUCUUAUCCCAGUCUCCCCAAAAUAGUAUCUGAGAGCCUUCUAGUAGUGCAUUCAGCAAGAUGACUAACAUCUCUCACGCUUGGUUCAUUCUCUCUCUCAUCUGGCUGGAAAAAUGGAUUUUUUGUCCCACAAAACAUUCUGAGAUUUCCCAGAAUUUUAUCCAGAAUCAGGACAAGCAACCUAAAAUUUUGAAUUUUGUGCAUGAAACAAAAUUUUAAAAAAAGGUAAUUUUGGGUCAACUGAAAUGUUUCAUUUUGAAAAA
Molecule: long non-coding RNA, 647 nt
Organism: Chelonia mydas (Green sea turtle)
Lineage: Eukaryota; Metazoa; Chordata; Testudines; Cheloniidae
Exons: 3
Source: RefSeq, a predicted model, not a curated record